RNAcentral lists this transfer RNA (71 nucleotides) under Chrysochromulina parva. Its description in RNAcentral is "tRNA-Gly". It matches the Rfam family "tRNA". Rfam says of the family: Transfer RNA (tRNA) molecules are approximately 80 nucleotides in length. Their secondary structure includes four short double-helical elements and three loops (D, anti-codon, and T loops). RNAcentral also lists the same sequence under 1 other name. Lineage: Eukaryota; Haptophyta; Prymnesiales; Chrysochromulinaceae. The record is from RNAcentral.
GUGCGUAUAAAUUAAUGGUAGAUUUUCAGUCUUCCAAACUGUUCGUGCGAGUUCGAAUCUCGCUACGCACU